GCCAUAUCCUGUUAACAAACGGUUCCCAUAUGAUCAACGGUUAAGCAUUGUUGAGUCUGGUCAGUACCUAGAUGGGUGACCACUUGGGAGUGCCAGAUGCUGCAAG
Molecule: non-coding RNA, 106 nt
Organism: Acanthosepion pharaonis
Lineage: Eukaryota; Metazoa; Mollusca; Cephalopoda; Sepiida; Sepiidae
Source: the annotation of a GenBank genome assembly